CGGAGUUAGCCGGGGUUUCUUUACCUGCUACAGUCAUUAUCUUCACAGGCGAAAGAGCUUUACGACCCUAAGGCCUUCAUCACUCACGCGGCACGGCUGGAUCAGGCUUGCGCCCAUUGUCCAAGAUUCCCCA
RNAcentral lists this ribosomal RNA (133 nucleotides) under uncultured bacterium. RNAcentral's name for it is "partial 16S ribosomal RNA". The record is from RNAcentral.